CCUACGGGAGGCAGCAGUGAGGAAUAUUGGUCAAUGGACGCAAGUCUGAACCAGCCAUGCCGCGUGCAGGAAGACGGCUCUAUGAGUUGUAAACUGCUUUUGUACGAGGGUAAACGCAGAUACGCGUAUCUGUCUGAAAGUAUCGUACGAAUAAGGAUCGGCUAACUCCGUGCCAGCAGCCGCGGUAAUACGGAGGAUUCAAGCGUUAUCCGGAUUUAUUGGGUUUAAAGGGUGCGUAGGCGGUCGGAUAAGUUAGAGGUGAAAUCCCGGGGCUCAACUUCGGAAUUGCCUCUGAUACUGUUCGGCUUGAGAGUAGGGGAGGUAGGCGGAAUGCAUGGUGUAGCGGUGAAAUGCUUAGAGAUCAUACAGAACACCGAUUGCGAAGGCAGCUUACCAAGCGACUACUGACGUUGAGGCACGAAAGCGUGGGGAGCAAACAGGAUUAGAUACCCGGGUAGUC
RNAcentral lists this ribosomal RNA (460 nucleotides) under uncultured bacterium. RNAcentral describes it as "partial 16S ribosomal RNA". It matches the Rfam family "Bacterial small subunit ribosomal RNA", at positions 338 to 795 of the family's 1533-position model. The record is from RNAcentral.